AGAGUUUGAUCAUGGCUCAGGACGAACGCUGGCGGUGUGCUUAACACAUGCAAGUCGAGCGUGAACCUCGGGGCUUGCCCUGAGGGGAAAGCGGCGAACGGGUGAGUAACACGUGGGCAACCUUCCCCAGUCUCUGGGAUAACCUCGGGAAACCGGGGCUAAUACCGGAUACUCUCGAUGGGUCGCAUGACCCGACGAGGAAAGCUCCGGCGGACUGGGAUGGGCCCGCGGCCUAUCAGCUUGUUGGCGGGGUAACGGCCCACCAAGGCAUCGACGGGUAGCUGGCGUGAGAGCGUGACCAGCCACACUGGGACUGAGACACGGCCCAGACUCCUACGGGAGGCAGCAGUGGGGAAUCUUGCGCAAUGGGCGAAAGCCUGACGCAGCGACACCGCGUGGGGGAAGAAGGCUCUCGGGUCGUAAACCCCUUUCGGCAGGGAAGAAGCGAAAGUGACGGUACCUGUAGAAGAAGCCCCGGCUAACUACGUGCCAGCAGCCGCGGUAACACGUAGGGGGCGAGCGUUGUCCGGAUUCAUUGGGCGUAAAGCGCGCGCAGGCGGCUCGGAAAGUCGGUUGUGAAAAUCCGGAGCUCAACUCCGGACGUGCGUCCGAAACUUCCGGGCUCGAGGCAGGUAGGGGAGAUCGGAAUUCCUGGUGUAGCGGUGAAAUGCGCAGAUAUCAGGAGGAACACCGGUGGCGAAGGCGGAUCUCUGGGCCUGUCCUGACGCUGAGGCGCGAAAGCUAGGGGAGCGAACAGGAUUAGAUACCCUAGUAGUCC
Molecule: ribosomal RNA, 778 nt
Filed under: uncultured bacterium
Lineage: Bacteria
Description: bacterial SSU rRNA
Rfam family: Bacterial small subunit ribosomal RNA
Source: RNAcentral